Molecule: small RNA, 96 nt
Filed under: uncultured Treponema sp.
Lineage: Bacteria; Pseudomonadati; Spirochaetota; Spirochaetia; Treponematales; Treponemataceae
Description: TD-2 RNA
Rfam family: TD-2 RNA
About the family: non coding RNA found in Treponema denticola
Source: RNAcentral
CGGCACGGAUGCCGCUGGUUCCAUACAGAAGCGAUGUUUGAGGCGAAGCCUCAAACUCGUCGAUGAAAAAUGUACACGGAUGUACAUUUUUCAUCA